This 322-nucleotide ribosomal RNA is filed under the name uncultured eukaryote. RNAcentral describes it as "partial 18S ribosomal RNA". It matches the Rfam family "Eukaryotic small subunit ribosomal RNA", at positions 1470 to 1796 of the family's 1831-position model. The record is from RNAcentral.
CCCUUAGAUGUUCUGGGCCGCACGCGUGCUACACUGAGUGGAUCAGCGGGCCAGGUUGCGCGAAAGUGUUUCCUAAUCUUUAAAUCCGCUCGUGAUGGGGAUUGACGGUUGCAAUUUUCCGUCAUGAACGAGGAAUACCUUGUAAGCGCGGGUCAUCAUCCCGCGCUGAAUACGUCCCUGCCCUUUGUACACACCGCCCGUCGCUCCUACCGAUUGAGUGGUCCGGUGAGGCUUUGGGAUCUGAGCGGAAAGAGCGUUUCGCUGUUUCUGCCCGGAAAACUCAGUCGAACCUUAUCAUUUAGAGGAAGGAGAAGUCGUAACA